CACACCACCUUCUGAUAUAACAACAUUGCUUAAUUUGUAUAGGACAUGUUCAUGGAUGUCAUUUUGUGCAAGUUAAGCUACAAGAAGGUUAUCCAUUGCCCAUGGUGAAUAUAACUCAACAUCGCUUAAUUUGUAUAAGACAUGUUCAUGGAUGUCAUUUUGUGCAGGUUAAGCUACAAGAAGGUUAUCCAUUGCCCAUGGUGAAUAUCAUGUUCUCAACCUACUGUUAUCCUGAGGCACGAGCGUGGUCAUCUAUUUAUACUAGUAGGAUGCAAGCAUUUUCA
Molecule: long non-coding RNA, 284 nt
Organism: Vigna angularis (adzuki bean)
Lineage: Eukaryota; Viridiplantae; Streptophyta; Magnoliopsida; Fabales; Fabaceae
Exons: 3
Source: RefSeq, a predicted model, not a curated record